UAAUGCCGUCGAAAAUGAGUAU
RNAcentral lists this non-coding RNA (22 nucleotides) under Arabidopsis thaliana (thale cress). The record is from RNAcentral. Lineage: Eukaryota; Viridiplantae; Streptophyta; Magnoliopsida; Brassicales; Brassicaceae.